RNAcentral lists this long non-coding RNA (422 nucleotides) under Equus caballus (horse). RNAcentral describes it as "lncRNA (ENSECAG00000038885.2)". The record is from RNAcentral. Lineage: Eukaryota; Metazoa; Chordata; Mammalia; Perissodactyla; Equidae.
UGCUUAUCUGAAGUGCACCUCCCUUGUUAUUUAUUUUCCCCCUCCAUCCUUUGCUUAUGUCUUUGUAGGACCUAUUACAAGUUGAAACAAUAUGUUGAUGGCUUGUUUACUGUUCACUGUCUGCCUCCUCGCCAGGUGUAUAGUGGUGAACAAAAUAGACUUUGUCUGUGCUCUAUGGGGCAAAUUACUACCUGGCGAGGAGGCAGACAGUGAACAGUAAACAAGCCAUCAACAUAUUGUUUCAACUUGUAAUAGGUCCUACAAAGACAUAAGCAAAGGAUGGAGGGGGAAAAUAAAUAACAAGGGAGGUGCACUUCAGAUAAGCAGAAAUCUCUUAGGGGGAGAUAUUUAACUUCAGACCUGAAAGAUGAAAAGUAGCCAGAGAAGGAAAGAAGAGGCUGAGAGGGCAAAGAAUGUUCCAA